UACAGAGGGUGCAAGCGUUGUUCGGAAUUAUUGGGCGUAAAGGGAGUGUAGGCGGUUGCCUCAGUCUUCUGUGAAAUCUACGGGCUUAGCCUGUAACGUGCAGAGGAAACUGGGCGACUUGAGUGUCGGAGAGGAUAGGGGAAUACCCGGUGUAGAGGUGAAAUUCGUAGAGAUCGGGUGGAACACCAGUGGCGAAGGCGGCAUCCUGGACCAACACUGACGCUGAUGAGCGAAAGCCAGGGGAGCAAACGGG
RNAcentral lists this ribosomal RNA (253 nucleotides) under uncultured bacterium. RNAcentral's name for it is "partial 16S ribosomal RNA". It matches the Rfam family "Bacterial small subunit ribosomal RNA", at positions 524 to 776 of the family's 1533-position model. The record is from RNAcentral.